UAGUAGCACUCCAUGACUAGAUGAGUGACACACGUGUGAAUCACGUGUGUGACCUUCCCUUGUGUUACGGAUAUACCUUGGGGAACCGGAAGUUAAUCCCAUAUAUGCCUUCCGGGAGAAAGAUCUAUCCGCCAUAAGAUGGGCUCGCGUUGGAUUAGCUAGUUGGUAGGGUAAUGGCCUACCAAGGCGAUGAUCCAUAGCUGGUCUGAGAGGAUGAUCAGCCACACUGGGACUGAGACACGGUCCAGACUCCUACGGGAGGCAGCAGUGGGGAAUAUUGGACAAUGGGGGCAAGCCUGAUCCAGCCAUGCCGCGUGAAUGAAGAAGUCCUUAGGGAUUGUAAAGUUCUUUUGACGGGGACGAUAAUGACGGUACCGGCAGAAUAAGCCCCGGCUAACUUCGUG
Molecule: ribosomal RNA, 404 nt
Filed under: uncultured bacterium
Lineage: Bacteria
Description: bacterial SSU rRNA
Rfam family: Bacterial small subunit ribosomal RNA
Source: RNAcentral